CCUACGGGUGACAGCAGUCGAGAAUCUUUCACAAUGGGGGAAACCCUGAUGGUGCGACGCCGCGUGGGGGAAUGAAGGUCUUCGGAUUGUAAACCCCUGUCAUGUGGGAGCAAAUUAAAAAGAUAGUACCACAAGACGAAGAGACGGCUAACUCUGUGCCAGCAGCAGCGGUAAUACAGAGGUCUCAAGCGUUGUUCGGAAUCACUGGGCGUAAAGCAUGCGUAGGCUGUUUCGUAAGUCGUGUGUGAAAGGCGCGGGCUCAACCCGCGAACGGCACAUGAUACUGCGAGACUAGAGUAAUGGAGGGGGAAGCGGAAUUCGCGGUGUAGCAGUGAAAUGCGUAGAUAUCGAGAGGAACA
RNAcentral lists this ribosomal RNA (359 nucleotides) under uncultured bacterium. RNAcentral describes it as "partial 16S ribosomal RNA". It matches the Rfam family "Bacterial small subunit ribosomal RNA", at positions 338 to 708 of the family's 1533-position model. The record is from RNAcentral.